This 1760-nucleotide ribosomal RNA is filed under the name Heteralepadomorpha sp. KACb00398. Its description in RNAcentral is "eukaryotic LSU rRNA". It matches the Rfam family "Eukaryotic large subunit ribosomal RNA", at positions 92 to 1593 of the family's 3401-position model. Lineage: Eukaryota; Metazoa; Arthropoda; Thecostraca. The record is from RNAcentral.
AGUGAAGUGGGAUGAGCUCAGCACCGAAGCCGGCCGUCGAGAGGUGGUCGUGCAAUGUGGUGUUCUGGGAGGGCUCUGUCCGUGUGCGACUUUGGUCCAAGUCUCCUGGAAAGGAGUUCCAUGGAGGGUGACAGGCCCGUGCGACCAAUAGCCGUGUUCACGGACGAGUCCUCUUUCGAGUCGGGCUGUUCGCUAAUGCAGCCCUAAGCAGGUGGUAAGCUCCAUCUAAGGCUAAAUAUAACCACGAGUCCGAUAGUCGACAAGUACAGUGAUGGAAAGUUGAAAAGUACUCUGAAGAGAGAGUCAAACAGCCCGUGAAGCUGCCCGUAUGGGAUUAAGCGCACAUGCGGCGCGUGUCGUUGGACAAAUAGGCGACUUGCUGUGCACGUCUAGCCGUACUGUAUUGUAUGCACAUUUCGUGUGUAUAUGAUGCACUCGGAACGUGUCAGCAGAACGCUUCCCUUUGUUCGACAUUGACAGGUCGAGGCUUCGUUGUCUGCGGUCUUAUUGCUGACACUUAUCCACAGAGCCGUACUGGGCGGCCGGCAACUUUUGUUGUCGGACGUGUUCCGCUGACUUUUGGUCCUUCGUGGACACAGCGGCCGGUUUGGUCUGUUGGUGCAAUGGUGUGUGCGAACGACUGGACGACGGCCAACGCAUUCGAACAGCAAUGUUCGGCUCGGCCUUUGCGCUGUCAUGUGCGGCCCGUCUUGAAACACGGACCAAGGAGUCUAACAUGUGAGCGAGCGAUUGAGAUUGUCGAAUCUCAAACGCGCAAUGAAAGUGAAGUGUCGUCUGACCGACACGAGCGGUGAUCUGUCGUUGUGUGCGCGCAUUCGUGUAUGGAACGGCAGCGCAACCGCGGGCCGCGCCAUGGGCUGGCUUGCUCUUUUCGGAGAGCACUGCUCAGGCGCGGACCUAGAGCCCACACGUUGGGACCCGAAAGAUGGUGAACUAUGCCUGGUCAGGAUGAAGCCAGAGGAAACUCUGGUGGAGGUCCGCCGCGAUUCUGACGUGCAAAUCGAUCGUCCGAACUGGGUAUAGGGGCGAAAGACCAAUCGAACCGUCUAGUAGCUGGUUCCGCCCGAAGUUUCCCUCAGGAUAGCUGGCGCUUGUCUGAUACGGAGUUUCAUCCGGUAAAGCGAAUGAUUAGAGGAGCUGGGGUCCUUGCGACCUCAACCUAUUCUCAAACUUUCAACGGGUGAGACGUCUCGCUGGCUUCAGUGCAGCGACGACUCAUAAUGAAUCCGAGUGUCCAGUGGGCCACUUUUGGUAAGCAGAACUGGCGAUGCGGGAUGAACCGCAUGUCGAGUUAAGGUGCCUAAGCGAACGCAAAUCAGAUACCAUGAAAGGUGUUGAUUGCUCACGACAGCAGGACGGUGGCCAUGGAAGUCGGCAUCCGCUAAGGAGUGUGUAACAACUCACCUGCCGAAGCAAUCAGCCCUGAAAAUGGAUGGCGCUAAAGCGUUCCACCGAUACUCGACCGUCGUCGGCAUGCGACGGCAUGUCCGUCUGACGCCACGACGAGUAGGGCGGCGCGGCGGUGAGCGUUGAAGGUGUGACCGUGAGGUCAACUGGAGCCGCCGUCGGUGCAGAUCUUGGUGGUAGUAGCAAAUACACAAGCAAGAUCCUUGUGGACCGAUGUGGAGAAGGGUUCCGCGCGAACAGUAUUUGGACGUGGGUGAGUCGGCCCUAAGCCAACGGGUAAUUCCCGCAUCCCGAUAUUAGUACACAGCUGAGAUUACACAUAAUGGGUUGAU